This 3332-nucleotide long non-coding RNA is filed under the name Sus scrofa (pig). Its description in RNAcentral is "lncRNA (ENSSSCG00030058189.1)". The record is from RNAcentral. Lineage: Eukaryota; Metazoa; Chordata; Mammalia; Artiodactyla; Suidae.
AGCCAUGCUCAUUUGUUUGAUCCCUGGCCUGGGAACUUCCAUAUGCUAUGGAUGUAGCCAAAACAAAACCAAAAACAGAUAAAAGUUUUCAAAUCCCUAUUCUGCACUACUUUCUGACUCUGUCAUGCUUAUGAAUUAUUCCUCGCAAAUUGCUUGAAAACUACUUGAAGUCAGGACUGUUGUCAUAUACUUUUUUUUUUUCUUUUUUAGGGCUGCACCCGUGGCAUAUGGAGGUUCCUAGGCUAGGGGUCAAAUUGGAGCAGUAUCUGCUGGCCUACACCACAGAUACACCAACACAGGAUCCAAGCGGAGUCUGCAACCUACACUUAUAGCUCACUGAAAUGCUGGACUCUUAACCCACUGAACAAGGCCAGGAACUGAACCUUCAUCCUCAUGGAUGCUAGUUAGAUUCAUUAACUGCUGAGCCAUGAUGGGAACUUUGUCAUAUACUUCUUAAGUCUCUUCUCUUGACUCCAUGUAAGACAGCUUUGGAUUUUCUUGAACAAAUUUUGCACGUCAAGCACAGGAUAUUAGGAAAUAAAUCUGACUUCAUAAUACAGAAUAGAUUAGAAAGAAAGAGAAGUGAUCAUAGUUUAUAGGCAUUAAUUUAGAUCUGAAGGCAGAUGCUUUCCUAUGUUGUGACUGUGAUAUUUGUGACUUGGUUAAGUGCAGUGCUGUUGCAUAGGGUGGUGGAGGCAGGGACCUGGAAUAAGAUGAAGAUGGUUAGGUGGUACAGAACAGGACGGAAGAGAUGGGAGGAGACUGUCUGGCAGGAAGAAUGUGGUGUCCAUCUUAUACAACCCAGAAAGCACUGGAUAACAUGGACCAGAAAGCACCAAGGAAUGAAGAGGGAAGAGAACAGAUCCCCAAGGCACCCAGACGCCCCUGGGGGCAAGCAGGUAGAACAUAGCCAGGGAAAUUGGCUGGCUGGAUUGUGUUCUGCCUGAGAUUAGGAAAGAGAGACAUUACAUUUGGAGUAGUGGUGGUGUCUCCCUUGUGAAUUGAAUGCAAGAAUUCUCUUCAAAUUUCUUCCCCUUGCAAAUUCCUCCUUCACCCCCUACACGUGACCCAUUUUUAACCUUGAAGUAAGUGAUGGGUUCCAGGAAAUGUGUAACCAAGUUUCAGCACACCUCUUCUGUAAAUUUCCGUAAGGUCUAGCACCUCCUUUGUCACAUGGCAUUAUUCUCAUGUGGUGACUCCCCUGAAACCAUGAGCUUCAUGUUUUGAUAGAGCUGAUGUAUUACACAAAGUAGAGCUGGGAUAAAUGAAAUAGACAUAGUUCUGGUGGACCUUUUGUAAUUGGAGCUUAGCAGUGAAAGAAAUAGAUCUGUAGUCAGCUAAGUAGAGAUAAAGCAAAAGUUUAGUUUUAGGGUUGGUGAUUAUUUUGUAAAUAAGAUAUGCAGGCCUUCACAUAUUUGAAACAACCUAGGUGAAGCUAUAGAGAAAAAUUGUGUUUUAUUGUGGCAUCUGUUUUUAUUUUCUUUUUUGACUUCAAUUGUAUGCUUUUUAAUGAAAUAAAUAAGUAUUGGAUGUCUUGAGAGCUGUGUGAUUUCCUUUGAUAACUACUAAGACACCAGAGGUUUCAAUUGUUUUUGAUCUGCUUUGAUCUCCCUCAAGUACUUUUUUUCAGCAUUGUAAAUUUUCACAAUUUUUAUAUGAGAAUGAACAAGAAAAGUUAACACUGUCAUUGUACUUAAUUGAAGAAUAUGGCUGUGUGUACACAAUAAAAUCAUUUGCAGCCAUCAUCUUCAUCUUUUUCUCAAUAGAUUAUUAUUUAAUUUGCAUGUAUACAGCACAACUGUAGCAAGAACAAGCAAAUACUUUUUCUUUCCAAAAGAAAUAAUUAAAAAAUUUUAGAACAUUUCACAGUCUCAAAGUUUAGUGUCAAGGGAUUUCAAACAGCAUUUUUGCUUGAAACCUUAUCACUGUCUCUCUCUCUCUCUUUUUUUUGGACUUUUUGUCUUUUUAGGGCUGCACCUGUGGCGUAUGAAGGUUCCCAGGCUAGAAGUCCAAUCAGAGCUGUAGCUGCUGGCCUACGCCAGAGCCACAGCAAUGAAGGAUCCAAGCCUCAUUUGUGACCUACACCACAGCUCACGGCAACACCGGAUCCUUAACCCACUGAGCGAGGCCAGGGAUCAAACCUGUGUCUUAUGGAUGCCAGUCAGGUUCAUUAAUAGCUGAGCCACGACAGAAACUCCUCACUGUCUCUUAUAGGAAUAAGAGAAUGUUUAGUAACCAAACUCUAAAUAUACUAAACUCUAAACUUCUUGUUUGAAAAUAAAAACAUAAAACGCCCAAGUUGGCAAUCCUUAAUGGGUCCUUUCCAGGACUGUUUAGAAAACAAAAUAGCUAGGCUUUGUUUAGCUGGAUAAUUCAUCAAGGAUUUUUACUAAUAAUCAUGUACAGUAAUUUCAUGGGAGCACACUCAAUUUUGAUGCCAAAUCAAUAUAGCAUAAGUCAUGACGGUUUUCUGAAAUUUCAGCUUUCAAUCAGUAUUAGCCUUGUUUUAAAAUGAACAAAGAGGCAAAGAAAGGAGAAAGAUGUAAUGUUAAUAGACUUCCUUUUGUGAUCUCUCAGGGACAGGUCUUUUUAAAUACGGGGCUUGAACUUGACCUUCUUCAAUGGCACAGAGGUCCAAUGCAUGGUUUUUAAAGUUAUAUUUAAAUUUUAAUAAUUUUGCUCAUCGGAGGCAGUUAGAGUCAGACUCUCAAAACCUAAUCCUCAAUCUUUUAGUGUAACUGAUUAGCAAAGAAGGGAUGCUUAGGAAUAAAGCCUGGAAGAGGUACAUACAUAUUGUCGUGAUUUCUAUAUCUCAUACAAUCGAGCUGCUUUCAGAUCAUUAUCACUGUGGGUAUUUGAAAAUAUGACUUCAUAUAGAGUUAGUAUGGGAAAGUCUUUAAUUUCUUGAUAAAUCUAGUUGUAGGGAUCUCAUUAAAAACUAGAGGAAAAAAUUAUAUUCUCAGUAUUGGCAAAAUAGCGUGGAAAGAGGCACUAUCAUAUGCUGCUGGUGAGAGUGUAAAUUUUUAAAAUCUUUCUGGAAGGCAGUUUGGCCAUAUCUAUUGAAUGUCUCAGAAUUUUGCAUAAAACCUUUAAACCAGCAUUUUUACUUUGGGGGAUUCAUGCUAAGAAAAUAGUCAUCAAUGUUUGCAAAAUUAUAGCUACAAGAUUUUUAUGAAAGCAUUUUUGGUAGAAACAAGAACUGAAUGAAACAUAAAUAUUUAACAACAAGGCUUUAUUUAGCCCUUAAAAAUGAUACUAGAGAAAUAUUUACUGCCAGGGAAAAGGUGGGAAAAGCUGAUUAGAAACUGUAUGCAAAAUGUGAUUCCAUUUCG